AAUGAACGCUGGCGGCAUGCCUUACACAUGCAAGUCGAACGGUAACAGGUCUUCGUUUGCUGACGAGUGGCGGCCGGGUGAGUAAUACAUCGGAACGUGCCCGAUCGCGGGGGAUAACGGAGCGAAAGCUUUGCUAAUACCUCAUACGAGCUACGGACGAAAGCCGGGGACCGCAAGGCUUAGCGCGGACGUUGCGGCCGAUGGCGGAUUAGGUAGUUGGUGGGAUAAAAGCUUACCAAGCCGACGAUCUGUAGCUGGUCUGAGAGGGCGACCCGCAACACUGGAACUGAGACACGGCCCAGACUCCUACGGGAGGCAGCAGUGGGGAAUUUUGGACAAUGGGCGAAAGCCUGAUGCAGCAAUGCCGCGUGCAGGAUGAAGGCCUUCGGGUUGUAAACUUCUUUUGUACGGAACGAAAAGACUCUUACUAAUAAAGAGAGUCCAUGACGGUACCGUAAGAGUAAGCAACGGCUAACUACGUG
This 482-nucleotide ribosomal RNA is filed under the name uncultured bacterium. RNAcentral's name for it is "partial 16S ribosomal RNA". It matches the Rfam family "Bacterial small subunit ribosomal RNA", at positions 29 to 507 of the family's 1533-position model. The record is from RNAcentral.